GACGAACGCUGGCGGCGUGCUUAACACAUGCAAGUCGAACGGAAAGGCCCUGCUUUUGUGGGGUGCUCGAGUGGCGAACGGGUGAGUAACACGUGAGUAACCUGCCCUUGACUUUGGGAUAACUUCAGGAAACUGGGGCUAAUACCGGAUAGGAGCUCCUGCUGCAUGGUGGGGGUUGGAAAGUUUCGGCGGUUGGGGAUGGACUCGCGGCUUAUCAGCUUGUUGGUGGGGUAGUGGCCUACCAAGGCUUUGACGGGUAGCCGGCCUGAGAGGGUGACCGGCCACAUUGGGACUGAGAUACGGCCCAGACUCCUACGGGAGGCAGCAGUGGGGAAUAUUGCACAAUGGGCGGAAGCCUGAUGCAGCAACGCCGCGUGCGGGAUGACGGCCUUCGGGUUGUAAACCGCUUUCGCCUGUGACGAAGCGUGAGUGACGGUAAUGGGUAAAGAAGCACCGGCUAACUACGUG
Molecule: ribosomal RNA, 468 nt
Filed under: uncultured bacterium
Lineage: Bacteria
Description: partial 16S ribosomal RNA
Rfam family: Bacterial small subunit ribosomal RNA
Source: RNAcentral